RNAcentral lists this long non-coding RNA (273 nucleotides) under Pogona vitticeps (central bearded dragon). RNAcentral describes it as "lncRNA (ENSPVIG00000007346.1)". The record is from RNAcentral. Lineage: Eukaryota; Metazoa; Chordata; Lepidosauria; Squamata; Agamidae.
UCGCCUGCUGGCCCUUCGAGACGGCUUCGGAAUGGGCCAAAAGCAGGGAAAGGCGGUUGGAAGGACGCAGGAGAUUGGGGCUUGACAUGGUUUCUGUCUAAGAAGUGAUUGCUCCUCAAUGUAGUUCACUGUAGAGUUGGCCACGUCUGAAAUAAAAGCAAACAAGAAUAUGCAAUUUGAAGAAUGUUAAAUUUGUACUGCCAUUUUAAUCUGGAGGGGGGUAAUGUCAGGCAAACCAAUAGAAGUGACUACAGAUUGAGGAACGAAUAAAAA